Molecule: ribosomal RNA, 396 nt
Filed under: uncultured bacterium
Lineage: Bacteria
Description: partial 16S ribosomal RNA
Rfam family: Bacterial small subunit ribosomal RNA
Source: RNAcentral
AUACGUAGGGGGCGAGCGUUGUCCGGAAUGAUUGGGCGUAAAGGGCGCGUAGGCGGCCCGGUAAGUCUGGAGUGAAAGUCCUGUUUUUAAGAUGGGAAUUGUUUUGGAUACUGUCGGGCUUGAGUGCAGGAGAGGUAAGUGGAAUUCCCAGUGUAGCGGUGAAAUGCGUAGAGAUUGGGAGGAACACCAGUGGCGAAGGCGACUUACUGGACUGUAACUGACGCUGAGGCGCGAAAGUGUGGGGAGCAAACAGGAUUAGAUACCCUGGUAGUCCACACUGUAAACGAUGAAUACUAGGUGUGCGGGGACUGACCCCCUGCGUGCCGGCGUUAACACAAUAAGUAUUCCACCUGGGGAGUACGAUCGCAAGGUUGAAACUCAAAGGAAUUGACGGGG